GGAUGCUCUGAAGACCUGCUCUCUAGGCUACGUACGGAGGACGUGCCGUUCCUCGUGGGCCUCAGGCCCGCCUAGGGGAAAGUCCCCGGACGGCGGGCAGAGAGUGCCGCGCGCCACCGGCGCGCGCGCCCGCUCCGCGCCUCACGCAGCGCCGCCAAGACGCCCGCCGGGGCCGAGCGGGUGAGCGGGAGGCGGGCCCUCGUCACGGCCACAGGCACGCAGGUAGUGCGCAGGCGCGCCGGGCGCGGGCCGCCGCACCAACACAACGGGGCUCACUCUCAGGCCAUC
RNAcentral lists this RNase MRP RNA (288 nucleotides) under Dromaius novaehollandiae (emu). RNAcentral's name for it is "RNase MRP (ENSDNVG00000001150.1)". It matches the Rfam family "RNase MRP". Rfam says of the family: RNase MRP is an enzymatically active ribonucleoprotein with two distinct roles in eukaryotes. The record is from Rfam by way of RNAcentral. Lineage: Eukaryota; Metazoa; Chordata; Aves; Casuariiformes; Dromaiidae.